UUCCGGUUGAUCCUGCCGGAGGCGACCGCUUUUGGAGUUCGAUUAAGCCAUGCGAGUAGAAAGAAAUUAGAUUCUUUGCGAACUGCUCAGUAACACGUGGAUAACCUGCCCUAUGCUCCGGAAUAACCUCGGGAAACUGAGAAUAAUACCGGAUAGAUCACAACGCCUGGAACGGUGUGUGGUUGAAAGAUUACGGCAUAGGAUGGGUCUGCGGCGUAUCAGGUUGUAGGGGGUGUAAAGGACCUCCUAGCCAUCGACGCGUACGGGUGUUGGGAGACAUAGCCCGGAGAUGGAUUCUGAGACACGAAUCCAGACCCUACGGGGUGCAGCAGGCGCGAAAACUUCACACUGCAGGAAACUGUGAUGAGGGAACUCCAAGUGCACGCACUUAGUGUGUGCUUUUUUCAACUAUUAAUCGGUUGAAGAAUAAGGGCUGGGAAAGACCGGUGCCAGCCGCCGCGGUAAUACCGGCAGCUCAAGUGGUCGUCGCUUUUAUUGGGCCUAAAACGUCCGUAGCCUGUUUGGUAAAUCUGUGGGUAAAUCAACCAGCUUAACUGGUUGAAUUCUGCAGAGACUGCCAGACUAGGGACCGGGAGAGGUGUGGGGUACUCUAGGGGUAGGGGUAAAAUCCUGUCAUCCUUAGAGGACCACCAGUUGCGAAGGCGCCACACUAGAACGGAUCCGACGGUCAGGGACGAAGCCUAGGGGCACGAACCGGAUUAGAUACCCGGGUAGUCCUAGGUGUAAACGCUGUGAACUUGGUGUCGGGAGUCCGCAAUGGGCCCCCGGUGCCGGAGUGAAGAUGUUAAGUUCACUGCCUGGGGAGUACGGUCGCAAGGCUGAAACUUAAAGGAAUUGGCGGGGGAGCACUGCAACGGGAGGAGCGUGCGGUUUAAUUGGAUUCAACGCCGGA
Molecule: ribosomal RNA, 913 nt
Filed under: uncultured archaeon
Lineage: Archaea
Description: bacterial SSU rRNA
Rfam family: Archaeal small subunit ribosomal RNA
Source: RNAcentral